RNAcentral lists this transfer RNA (76 nucleotides) under Alkaliphilus sp. B6464. Its description in RNAcentral is "tRNA-Lys". It matches the Rfam family "tRNA". From Rfam's summary of the family: Transfer RNA (tRNA) molecules are approximately 80 nucleotides in length. Lineage: Bacteria; Bacillati; Bacillota; Clostridia; Peptostreptococcales; Natronincolaceae. The record is from RNAcentral.
GGAAGUAUAACUCAAGUGGUAGAGUAACCGACUUUUAAUCGGUAGGCUACAGGUUCGAGUCCUGUUACUUCCACCA